This is a long non-coding RNA of Caretta caretta (loggerhead turtle), 3138 nucleotides long. RefSeq lists it as uncharacterized. The record is from RefSeq and is a predicted model, not a curated record. Lineage: Eukaryota; Metazoa; Chordata; Testudines; Cheloniidae.
CAGCAGCCUCUCCUCCGUUGUGCCUGCCUAGAGUGCCUGCCUGCCCGCGUCAGCGCGGGGUCUCCCGUGUACCCUAAGAAUCCGGGCGGGCUGGAGCUGGAGGCGGGCCCGGCGGCUGCUUCCUCCACCGGUGCGCAGUCCCAGGGCGGCCCGUGCUGACAGAGAAACCCUCCGCUCCGGACCGCAUUAGGCAGCAAGGCAAGGGCGCAGCCCCUGUAGCCUGUUUUGUCUUUGCAAGUCGUCUUAGCCGUGGAGGCACCGUCCGUCUGCGUCACCUACCUCCAGCACGUCCGCUGCCCCUAAGUGGCACCCGCUGUUCCUGAUCAGUUUCGAUGCUGGAAUGUGAGAGAUCAGCGGAAAACCCCUGCCCCAAAGUCACGGCUCCCGCCUGUUUCUGGAAUUGCCCAAUUUCUAGUAUUUCCAGCCCCAAGUAGUCGAAAGUCAUGAGUCAGGCCGCAGAAAAUCCUGAGUGGCUUAAAAAUCACGGGCCUUUAAAAAUAAUAGAAUAAAAGAACCCAGUGGGUGCUUUUUGUUUUCCUUCUGGUUCUUGAUCCUUUGCAAGCAGGUCCCAUUUUCAAGAUUUUCUCUGCAAGCCCAAGAAGUACUCUUUUAUUUAAUAAAUACAAAAAUAAAUAACCUGAGAUUCUCAUGACUUUGGGAGAUGGGACUUUAAGAUGAUCAGCAAGUAUUGCAAGGUCUGUGAUAAAAUUGUGGAAGUUAGGAACACUUAUUUUUCUGAUCGCUAGAAAUCUUACGAACCAAUUGUUUGGCACAGGCGGAAGAUGGUAACCAGUACCAACUGACAACUCAUAUCAACACUGCUCUUAUUACUACAAAGGCACCCCUUGCAUCUCAGAGAGAAGACUUGUGGCUGAAAAAGAUACUACAGAAUAUCCACUUUUUCCUCUUGGAAAGAGGAAAUAUAAAACCUUUUUGAAUCUUAUAUGCUAUGUUUCAAUGGGAGCAGAAGUUGAGUUAAAUAUUUUUGAAGACUUAUGAAUUGAAGAUACUGUAUUGGGAACUGGGGGUAAAACUUUCAGAAGUGCCUAUGUCCCUUUUGGAAACUUUAACCUGUGUAUAUGCCUUUCUCACUAUUUACAUUCCACUAGACUCGCUGAAGUUUGAUGGGUAAUGUUUUGUUUUUAAGAACGCAGACUAGGCCAAACCCAAGGAAGAGAGAACAUGUCUGAUGUAUGAGAUGAUUGUACUAAAAUACUGCACCUAGCACUGGGUACUUUAGUUCCAGAGACCUGUCGAACUGGAUUGGUUUAAAAAAAAAAUGGGGAAAGAUGGUUAGAAGAAUAGUGCAAUUGGCUUGUAAGAAAAGAUUAAAUGAGCUAAAUAUGAGUUUGGCAAAGUUAUGAGUAAGGUGGAGACAUUCAGUUCAAGCAUUUGAAGAUUGUAAACUUGAAGGAAUACUUUUUAAUGAGGUAUUAUUAAGUAUAGUGGCAAGAAAUCAAAUAAGUUUAAAUUGAGUAUCAUUGAGCUUUUUUUUUAAAAAGAAAAAAAGAUGCCUUUUGAUCCAGAAUCAGUAGUUUUAAUAUGCUUUAAUUGCUUUUCCUCAACAGUUUUUUCAUGUUUAAACUUUGUUACAGGGCACUCAUUCAGCAGUUAUGUAUAUUGCAUUUGGAAUUUGUCACUUUUUUAAUCUUGACUCAGAUUAAUGUUUUUGAAUUCUCUGAAUUAUAGUAGUUGCAGCCUCAGUAGUUAUGGUUGUAAAACAGUUUCCAGUCUAUAAUCUGUAUCUUUUCACAUGUGCAGAACGCUCAUCUUGCGGGCUAAUAUUUCCCAUGUGUGUUCUUAAAAAAAAAAAAAUCUGCCCUUGGGGCAAAUUUUGAAAUAUGUCCCUUUUCUUUGUGGUAUUAUCCCAUUUUCCACAUCUACAAUAUCACCUUCAUGACAACUCUGUCAUCUUUAGACGUUUUCCCACAGUUCCUUUUGAAGUUCUGACAUCAGUAUAAUUUAUGGGCGGACCCUCUAGUUUCACCCACGCAGUAGUUGGGGUGCAACUGGAUGCAAUAUUAAAGUUGUGUGAUUUAUCUUUGAUCAAGAAUCCUGAGCAAGCUUAUUUGCGGACCAUGGUCAGAAAGCAAUUUAUUAUUGGUCCGUUAGAGACAUUUUAACACAAGAAAUAUCUUAGUGAAACCAAUGCUCAGAAGUUUCAGUAGAAGUUCCUGCCGUGUCUGCAUGCAAGUACAUGAAUUCAAAAAUGGAGAUCUGUUCAGAUGGUUUCUUUGGAGAAGUUUUCCUUGAUAAAUGGAAUAAGUUAUUGAAGAUUUAUUGUUUGUAUUUGAUACAUACCAUUAAAUAUACAGUUGUGCAAUGUGGACAAGGUAGUUGUGACGAUUCCUCCCAUAAGGCUUUAUGGAAAUAUGCUUAUGAAUGUAUGCUACAUAUGCCGUGUAACAUAUCUCUGUAUAAGUUAUGGUCUACUGAAUCUAUUAAUCCUAUUUGUAUGCAUGUAUCAUUUUUGUAUUCGAAGUUAUGAAUAUUGACUGUGUACUGGCUUGAUUUCUAAGUAGCCUUAGUAGAGUAUUUGGUCAGCUUCUUGAGAAAGGAAUGUGCAAAUUAGGUGCCCAAUCAAGAAACACUUAAAGGACAAUGAAUCUUGUAAGGCUCCAAUCCACAUAAGAAGUCUUUCAAGGAGCGAGGACUUUCAAGAAAGCAUGUGAACCAAGGCUGCUAACUGUAAGUUCUGAGUCAUGCAUGGACAUGUGACUUGCCCAUGUGACUCCAAAACUCCAUCUUGGAGUUGGACUUUGCAUAGGAGAGAGGAGGGGGUCUCCACCCCCAAGAGAAAGUUUAUUUAAAGCCUGAGGAGACCCCCUCCAUUUUGUCUUCAGCUGGCUAAAGAGAUAGCCUCUCCACCCCCAAGGAUACUGAAAGAAACUGGAACAAAGGACAGUAACUACAGGGGGUGUGAUUGAUUGCUACACCCAGACUAGAAGGAGACUAGUCUGUAAAAAGAAGCUUACUGGGUGAGGUUUUUAUCUGUAUUCAGUUUUAUUACUGUACUAGUCUUAGACUUGUGGGUUUUAUUUUAUUUUGCUUGGUAAUUCACUUUGUUUUGACUGUUACUACGUGGAACCACUUAAAUCCUACUUUCUGUAUUUAAUAAGUAAAAAGUGAUUUUAUUAA